This 483-nucleotide ribosomal RNA is filed under the name uncultured bacterium. RNAcentral's name for it is "partial 16S ribosomal RNA". It matches the Rfam family "Bacterial small subunit ribosomal RNA", at positions 355 to 847 of the family's 1533-position model. The record is from RNAcentral.
UGGGGAAUAUUGCACAAUGGGCGCAAGCCUGAUGCAGCAACGCCGCGUGAGGGAUGACGGCCUUCGGGUUGUAAACCUCUUUUAGUAGGGAAGAAGCGAAAGUGACGGUACCUGCAGAAAAAGCACCGGCUAACUACGUGCCAGCAGCCGCGGUAAUACGUAGGGUGCGAGCGUUGUCCGGAAUUAUUGGGCGUAAAGAGCUCGUAGGCGGUCUGUCGCGUCUGCUGUGAAAACCCGAGGCUCAACCUCGGGCCUGCAGUGGGUACGGGCAGACUAGAGUGCGGUAGGGGAGAAUGGAAUUCCUGGUGUAGCGGUGGAAUGCGCAGAUAUCAGGAGGAACACCGAUGGCGAAGGCAGUUCUCUGGGCCGUAACUGACGCUGAGGAGCGAAAGCGUGGGGAGCGAACAGGAUUAGAUACCCUGGUAGUCCACGCCGUAAACGUUGGGCGCUAGAUGUGGGGACCAUUCCACGGGUUUCCGUGUC